AUUGAACGCUGGCGGCAUGCCUUACACAUGCAAGUCGAACGGCAGCGCGGGAGCAAUCCUGGCGGCGAGUGGCGAACGGGUGAGUAAUACAUCGGAACGUGCCCAAUCGUGGGGGAUAACGCAGCGAAAGCUGUGCUAAUACCGCAUACGAUCUACGGAUGAAAGCAGGGGAUCGCAAGACCUUGCGCGAAUGGAGCGGCCGAUGGCAGAUUAGGUAGUUGGUGAGGUAAAGGCUCACCAAGCCUUCGAUCUGUAGCUGGUCUGAGAGAACGACCAGCCACACUGGGACUGAGACACGGCCCAGACUCCUACGGGAGGCAGCAGUGGGGAAUUUUGGACAAUGGGCGAAAGCCUGAUCCAGCCAUGCCGCGUGCAGGAUGAAGGCCUUCGGGUUGUAAACUGCUUUUGUACGGAACGAAACGGUCUUUUCUAAUAAAGAAGGCUAAUGACGGUACCGUAAGAAUAAGCACCGGCUAACUACGUG
This 484-nucleotide ribosomal RNA is filed under the name uncultured bacterium. RNAcentral describes it as "partial 16S ribosomal RNA". It matches the Rfam family "Bacterial small subunit ribosomal RNA", at positions 30 to 507 of the family's 1533-position model. The record is from RNAcentral.